Molecule: ribosomal RNA, 597 nt
Filed under: uncultured archaeon
Lineage: Archaea
Description: bacterial SSU rRNA
Rfam family: Archaeal small subunit ribosomal RNA
Source: RNAcentral
UCCGGUUGAUCCUGCCGGAGGCCACUGCUAUGGGGGUCCGACUAAGCCAUGCGAGUCAUGGGGCGCCUUGCGCGCACCGGCGGACGGCUCAGUAACACGUCGGUAACCUACCCUCGGGAGGGGGAUAACCCCGGGAAACUGGGGCUAAUCCCCCGUAGGCCUGAGGUACUGGAAGGUCCUCAGGCCGAAAGGGUCUUUGACCGCCCGAGGAUGGGCCGGCGGCCGAUUAGGCAGUUGGUGGGGUAACGGCCCACCAAGCCGAAGAUCGGUACGGGCCAUGAGAGUGGGAGCCCGGAGAUGGACACUGAGACACGGGUCCAGGCCCUACGGGGCGCAGCAGGCGCGAAACCUCCGCAAUGCUCGAAAGAGCGACGGGGGGACCCCCAGUGCCGUGGCAUCGCCACGGCUUUUCCGGAGUGUAAAGAGCUCCGGGAAUAAGGGCUGGGCAAGGCCGGUGGCAGCCGCCGCGGUAAUACCGGCGGCCCGAGUGGUGGCCGCUAUUAUUGGGCCUAAAGCGUCCGUAGCCGGGCCAGUAAGUCCCUGGCGAAAUCCCACGGCUCAACCGUGGGGCUUGCUGGGGAUACUGCUGGCCUUGGG